RNAcentral lists this ribosomal RNA (57 nucleotides) under Lobaria retigera. Its description in RNAcentral is "partial 18S ribosomal RNA". Lineage: Eukaryota; Fungi; Ascomycota; Lecanoromycetes; Peltigerales; Lobariaceae. The record is from RNAcentral.
AGUCGUACAAGGGUUUUCCGAAAGGGUGAAACCUGCCGGAGGGGAAUCAUUAUAUCC